GGAGUUAGCCGGUGCUUCUUCUGUGAGUGAUGUCCUUCCUGCCGGCUAUUAACCCGCAGGCCCUCUUCCUCACUGAAAGUGCUUUACAACCCGAAGGCCUUCUUCACACACGCGGCAUGGCUGGAUCAGGGUUGCCCCCAUUGUCCAAUAUUCCCCACUGCUGCCUCCCGUAGGAGUCUGGGCCGUGUCUCAGUCCCAGUGUGGCUGAUCAUCCUCUCAGACCAGCUACGGAUCGUCGCCUUGGUGAGCCGUUACCUCACCAACCAGCUAAUCCGACAUAGGCUCAUCCGAUAGCGCGAGGCCCGAAGGUCCCCCGCUUUCCCCCGUAGGGCGUAUGCGGUAUUAGCCUGGGUUUCCCCAGGUUAUCCCCCACUACCGGGCAGAUUCCUAUGCAUUACUCACCCGUCCGCCGCUCGCCACCAGGUAGCAAGCUCCCCGUGCUGCCGCUCGACUUGCAUGUGUUAGGCCUGCCGCCAGCGUUCAAUCUGAGCCAUAAUCAAACUCUGA
RNAcentral lists this ribosomal RNA (507 nucleotides) under uncultured bacterium. Its description in RNAcentral is "partial 16S ribosomal RNA". The record is from RNAcentral.